CUUCAGCGACCCCAGCCACAGCGGCCGGUCGGCCGGCCGGUUCGCGCCGUAGGUGGCGAGCAGCGCCUGCGCCUC
This 75-nucleotide antisense RNA is filed under the name Kutzneria sp. 744. RNAcentral describes it as "ASpks TB sRNA". It matches the Rfam family "ASpks TB sRNA". Lineage: Bacteria; Bacillati; Actinomycetota; Actinomycetes; Pseudonocardiales; Pseudonocardiaceae. The record is from Rfam by way of RNAcentral.